RNAcentral lists this ribosomal RNA (2962 nucleotides) under Obscuribacter phosphatis (SeqCode). RNAcentral describes it as "23S ribosomal RNA". It matches the Rfam family "Bacterial large subunit ribosomal RNA". Lineage: Bacteria; Bacillati; Candidatus Melainabacteria; Candidatus Obscuribacterales; Obscuribacteraceae (SeqCode). The record is from RNAcentral.
GGUUAAGCUACUAAGAGCGCACGGUGGAUACCUUGGCGUCAGCAGCCGAUGAAGGACGCAAUAAACUGCGAAAUGCUACGGGGAGCCGUUAUGGGCUACGAUCCGUAGGUCUCCGAAUGGGGCAACCCCGCUGAGUGAAGCUCAGCGACGCAUAUCUGAAUACAUAGGGUAUAGCGAGGUAAGUCCGGGAACUGAAACAUCUUAGUACCGGGAAGAAAAGAAAACAAAACAGUGAUUCCCUCAGUAGCGGCGAGUGAACGGGGAGGAGCCUAAACCAUUAGGACGAAAGUCCUAGUGGGGUCGCGGGACUCCGCAAGGGAUGGGAUAAGGUUAGUCGAAGAGCUCUGGAAAGAGCCACCAUAGACGGUGACAGUCCGGUAAACGAAAACCUUUGAACCCCGGGAGUAUCCCAAGUAGUACGGGACACGCGAAACCCUGUACGAAUCUGCCAGGACCAUCUGGUAAGGCUAAAUACUGACUGACGACCGAUAGUGAACAAGUACUGCGAAGGAAAGGUGAAAAGAACCCGUGAGAGGGAGUGAAAUAGAACAUGAAACCGUGUGCUUACAAGCAAUUGGAGCCCUAUUUAUAGGGUGACAGUGUGCCUGUUGAAGAAUGAGCCGGCGAGUUACCGUAUGUAGUUGGUUAAGCAGUUAAUAUGCGAAGCCACAGGGAAACCGAGUCUGAUAAGGGCGUCGAUAAUUACAUGCGGUAGACCCGAACCCUGAUGAUCUAGGCAUGGCCAGGAUGAAGCGCAAGUAACAUUGCGUAGAGGUCCGAACCAACCGAUGUUGAAAAAUCGGUGGAUGAGCUGUGUUUAGGGGUGAAAUGCCAAUCGAAUCAGGAGCUAGCUGGUUCUCCCCGAAAGGCGUUGAGGCACCGCGUCAGAUUUAUCCUACAGGGGGUAGAGCACUAGUUCGGUGCGGGCGGAGAAAAUCCGUACCAAAUCGAGUUAAACUCCGAAUACCUGUAGCGUCAUUAUCUGGCAGUGAGAGUGCGAGAGAUAAGUUCCGUACUCAAGAGGGAAACAGCCCAGACUACCGACUAAGGUCCCAAAAUUCAUGCUAAGUGAUUAAGGAGGUGGAGUUGCAUAGACAACUAGGAUGUUGGCUUAGAAGCAGCCACCAUUCAAAGAAAGCGUAAUAGCUCACUAGUCAAGCGACUCUGCGCCGAAAACAUACGGGGCUAAGCAUGAUACCGAAAUCGUAGGAUCAGAGUAAUCUGAUCGGUAGGGGAGCGUUCUGUUGUAGGACGAAGUGCGACCGUUAGGACGCAUGGACGAAGCAGAAGUGAGACUGUCGGCUUAAGUAGCGAAAACAUUGGUGAGAAUCCAAUGCACCGAAAGACUAAGGGUUCCCACGCAAGGUUCGUCCACGUGGGGUUAGCCGGGAGCUAAGAUGAGGCCGAGAGGCGUAGUCGAUGCACAACGGGUUAAUAUUCCCGUGCUACCUUGUAACCGCUAGGAGCUAAGUCGGGACGCAGGAGGCUAUACACAGGGGACAGUUUGGUUUUGUCCCUCCAAAGGCGUAGCUAGUCCGGGUAGGCAAAUCCGCCCGGGCGUUUUAACGUAAGGCCGAGUAGGAAAUGCUCUACGGAGCAAAUUGUGUAGAUGCCACGCUGCCGAGAAAAGCGGCGAAAGCCAGGUUACAUGGUACUCGUACCCUAAACCGACACAGGUAGUCAGGUAGAGAAUACCAAGGUGCGCGAGAUAACUCUCUCUAAGGAACUCGGCAAAAUAACCUCGUAACUUCGGAAGAAGAGGUGCCAUGCUAGGGUGUAAGACUUCGCGUCUGAAGCCUGAGAUGGUCGCAGCGACGAGGCUCAAGCGACUGUUUAUCAAAAACACAGGUCUCUGCUAAACCGUAAGGUGAUGUAUAGGGGCUGACUCCUGCCCAGUGCCGGAAGGUUAAGUGGAUCGGUUAGCGCAAGCGAAGCUGAGAAACAAAGCCCCGGUGAACGGCGGCCGUAACUAUAACGGUCCUAAGGUAGCGAAAUUCCUUGUCGGGUAAGUUCCGACCCGCACGAAUGGAGUAACGAUUUGAGCGCUGUCUCGGAGAGAGGCUCGGCGAAAUAGGAUUGUCUGUGAAGAUACGGACUAGGCGUGCCAGGACAGAAAGACCCUAUUGAGCUUUACUGUAGGCUGAAAUUGUCUGCGGGCUAUAUCUGCGCAGGAUAGGUGGGAGACUUUGAAGUCAGAAUUUUGGUUCUGAUGGAGUCAACGUUGAGAUACCACUCUGAUGUAGCUAGCAUACUAACCUGAUUCCGUUAUCCGGGUCGGGAACAGUUUCAGUUGGGCAGUUUGACUGGGGCGGUCGCCUCCUAAACAGUAACGGAGGCGCCCAAUGGUUCCCUCAGGCUGGUCGGAAAUCAGCCAUCGAGCGUAAAGGUAGAAGGGAGCUUGACUGAGAGUGAGACAUCACGAUCAGGGACGAAAGUCGGGCUUAGUGAUCCCACGACUCCGCAUGGAAGGGUCGUUGCUCAUCGGACAAAAGUUACCAUAGGGAUAACAGGCUGAUCUCGCCCAAGAGUCCACAUCGACGGCGAGGUUUGGCACCUCGAUGUCGGCUCAUCGCAUCCUGGAGCGGUAGUACGUUCCAAGGGUUGGGCUGUUCGCCCAUUAAAGCGGUACGUGAGCUGGGUUCAGAACGUCGUGAGACAGUUCGGUCCAUAUCCGGCAUGCCCGUAGGAUUUUUGAGAGGAGUCGUCCCUAGUACGAGAGGACCAGGACGAACGAGCCGCCAGUAUGGCUGUUAUCGCGCCAGCGGUAAACGCAGCGUAGCUGUGCUCGGAGCGGAUAAGUGCUGAAAGCAUAUAAGUACGAAGCCCACCUCAAGAUGAGAAAUCCCAUAGCGUAAGCUAGUAAGACCCCCGGAAGACCACCGGGUUGAUAGGACGCAGGUAGAAGUGCCCCGCAAGGCAAGCACGUAGCUGAGCGUUACUAAUCGGUCGAGGGCUUAACCAA